Molecule: long non-coding RNA, 23010 nt
Filed under: Gossypium barbadense (sea-island cotton)
Lineage: Eukaryota; Viridiplantae; Streptophyta; Magnoliopsida; Malvales; Malvaceae
Description: long non-coding RNA (GBAR_LNC007935)
Source: RNAcentral
ACGGCCCAAGGAAAAAAGUGGUCUGCUUUAUUGAAUCUUAUUUCAGCAAGGGGAAAUGGUUCGUCAGUAGAGAUGUUUCCACGGGUGCCCCAAAAAGAAAGGGAGGGAGAGAGAGAGAUCUCUCGUUAGGUCUGGGGUCUUGUCGGUCCGGAGGGAGGGGGAGGGCCCAUGUGAAAGAGAUUGGGCUCACAGAAUACUUCAGGGCUGGAGUGAAGAGCCACAAGAGCAUUCUUGUCGGAAAGAUUUUUUAGGAGGCCCGGACACCUUCCGAACAUCCCUGAAGGAUAGAACAACAUGAUGAAGAAGGCGGCGUGGAGGACUUGGCCGAAGAGGCGCGAAUCCCCUAUCUCCAUGAGUUCAAAGCCGGUGGGUGCUAUAGCAGGAGGCUGUCUGUCAUCAGGGACGUUGUUUUCAGCAUUUUCUGAAAGGUAUUAGUAGUCAAUCCUCUCUUCAUUCUUUGCUUCGCUUCCUUUCUUUCAUCUGUUUGCUUAUCUUUCCUCUUCUUUUUUAUUUUUUCUUUGCUUCCCCGUCCCCCCUAGGCUCAGUCCCCUUAUGAAUCAAAAUUUACCAGGAUAGAACGUCCCCGUUAUGUUAUCGUGUAAGUAAGGAGAAUGCUUUCUAUUCGUUAUAAGCCUAGGCUUCUCAACCAGAUCUUUUCAACCAGAGUGGGAAAGUGGAAGCCUGUUUCCAUCGAAGAGUCCGGUAUCAUGGUCUACCUUCUUACAGCAUCGAUACCGAGCUUGUGACGGGUGUAGGGUGUUAUAGCUUACCUAGAGGGUUUGGCUCCUUAAUCAUAAACUCCGUAGACUCAACAGAUAUGGCCAUACUAAACAUCAAUUUCAUGCAUACAUACAAAUGAGUAGAACUAGGGUUAAUCAAAGCAAUAACAGUGUUAUCAUAGAGAGAAAAUGUACCGAUGAUCACAUCAGGAGAAGAUGCAUCUUCACAUGCGCGUAUGGCGUAGGUUCUAGUCGGAGCUCUAACUUCUGAUCUCAACGUGGUGUCUCUUGUUACAUUCUUGUUGCUAGCCCCGCUUCCGACAUUCUUCUAAGGUCUUCCUUUAGAAUUGGUGCCACUUGGCCUUGCACCUUGAAAUUUUUCUUUCUCGUUCAUCUCAGGACAAUCCUUGAUAAAAUGGUCUUAAGAACCAUAUCAAAAACAAGAUCCAUCGUUCAUUAUACACUUGUCAAAAUGACUUCUACCACAAUACUGGCACUUUGGUCGAGAAGGCCUGACAUUACCUUCACUAGCCACUAAUGUAGCCCGAGAUUUAGAAUCCGAAUCUUGCUUCUUACAAUCUCUAUAUGAGUGUCUAGCUGACAUAUGAGAACGGAAGUAAAUGUCCCUGGAUUUCUUAGACUGAGGUGAAAAUGACUUACUUGAGUGUCUCUUCCUUACAUCUCUAGCCUCUGCCUCGGUUUUCUUCUUCUUCUUAAUCAAUUCUUCGGCCUUACAAGCCCGAUUAACAAGAACCACAAACUCCUUCAAUUCAAGGACACCCACUAAUAAUCGGAUAUCCUCAUUAAGUCCGUCUUCAAACCUUCGACACAUCUUAGCCUCGGAGGACACAUUCUUCCGAGCAUACUUACUAAGUCGGACGACUUCCCUUUCAUAUUCAGUAACAGUCAUGUGGCCUUGUUACAAGUCAAAAAAUUACUUACGCUUUUGAUCCAUGAAUCUCUCACUAAUAUAUUUCUUCCAGAAUUCCUCUUGGAAGAAUUUCGAUUUGAUCUUCUCGAGAGGUACCAUUGAAAGUAAUGUUUUCCACCAGUGGUAUGCCAAGUCCCUCAACAAUGAUAUGGCACACUUUAAGCAUUCUUCGAGAGUACAAGAUAAUUCAUCAAAAACCCUGAUGGUAUUCUCAAGCCAGAACUCUGCCCUUUCGGGAUCAUCAUCCUUAUUAACACGGAACUCCUCAGCUCCAUGCUUUCAGAUCUUGUCCACUGGGGGUCUAUUCACUCUCACAAAAUCCAUACCCUGCGAUGCUACGGGGACAGGUUGAGGGAUAGGUGGAGGUGGAGGGUGUUGAUCAUUCAGGUUCACUCGGACGAACUCCGUGUACCAUUCAUUCAUCAUGUGGAGAAAGGCUUUUCGAGCCCCUUCUCCCCUUCCCUAGCUAACCGUGGGAGGUCAAUUAUCGAAUGGCACUGCCCUUUCAGUAGGAGCCGGUGUAUUACUUUCUACAUUGUCCACCAUAGCUCGUUCGGGAUCCAUUACUAUAAGAAAACAUGAUAACAAAGUCAGGAGCCAUUACACUAUCACAAUUUAUUUAUGACAUGUAUAGCUAGACUCGUACACACGCUAGGUUAGUCUGGGAACCAACUAAACUAUAGCUCUGAUACCAUUAAAUGUAACACCCCACUCUCGAGUCCUACGCCAGGACAAGAUACGAGGCGUUACCACACUUAAACACAUUCAUUCCAACCUUUUUGAACCAUCAAGACUUGAUAAAUUUAAAAAUUUAUCUAAACUCCUUAACAUAGGCCUAUGAGGCUUUAAAUUUUUAUCGGAAACCAUUUUGGACCGACUUAGGUCUUAAACCAACUUUAGAAAAAUAACCCUUAAAACAGGGCACACGCCCGUUUGAAAAGGUAACACGCCUGUGUGGUCGUUUUGACAUGGCCGUACUGAUGGCCCGAGUGACACACAUGGCCUAAGCCUUUAAGGACAUGCCUGUGCCCCAUGCUCGUAUGAGUUAAAUGUGAAAUUUGAGCCUACAGGGAUUUUCACACAGCCUGACACACGCCUGUGUCUAUGGCCCUGUCCAUCACACGGCCAUGACACGCCCAUGUCCUAGCCUGUGUCCAAAACCUUGACAUUUUAUUUCUUACAUCAGCAUCCAAUAAGGGGCACACGGCCAAGGCACACACCCAUGGCCAUAGGCCUUGUCCUCCACACGGCUGGACACAUGGUUGUGUCUCUACCCGUGUGUUUAUAACCAUGCAUACAGAUAUGAAACUUUUAUGUGCAGGGGACACACGAUCGAACAACACGCCCAUAUGGCUAGCCUUGUGUCUACCCGUGUGGACAAUAUAAUGCUACUUACAAAGCCUUAUGCCACCCUGAAACACAAUUUAAUACCAAUCAACAUAUCAAAAUCUAACUUAAUACGGUUUAUCAACCAACAACCCUAGCUAAGACCUAUAUACAUUUCAUAAAUUCAACCAUGCCAACAAUUUCACAUUCGUAAAAGACUAUCUUGCAUUUAUAUAAUGGCUUACGAUAUUAGCUAAUUUCAUAGCCUUACACAAAAUGAGUCAAAUGCUAAAACAAGCCAACACUUUUGGCCCCAAAAUAAUGUGACACAAAAAUAAAAUCAAAAGUUCCUAUACAUGCCGUAAUCAAAACGAUAAAACUAGCUAUACCAAGUGCUUCAAGGAUAGUGUGGUUGGCUUCUCCGACAUACGCAACGAUCCUCGAACAAUUUUGGCGGCACUAUAAGAAAAUGGAAAGGAAAUAGGGUAAGCAUAGGAGCUUAGUAAGUACAUAUGUGUGAAUAAAUGUAAUUAGAAAUACAGUCAUCAGACAAUGGCUUAUCACACUUAAAUGAUAUAUAAUUUUAAUCUCACUAUCUUACUUUUCACUUAUUCUAUGCAUACUUAUUACAUCUCAUCACAUACUAAGAUCUUCAUUCGGGAGUUUAUUAUACAUGCCUGCAAUUGCCGUAAAAUAAUUCAACUUCAUUUUCUCUAUUGACAUACCUCAUUGAAAGUAUCGCCAAUCUAUUCAUCGAGUUAGCAAUCGAACACUCAGAAAUACCAAUGAAUACUCGGAUAGUUUACUCUUAAGUACCAUACAAAUAGCCAAAGCUACUUCAAACUUUGUAAUACUUGUAUAUUUGAGCUACUCACGGGCCUUCACACCAAGUCAGUACCCGAACACUAUAGCUCUAUUAUGUAAUGCCCACUCAUUGAGCUACUCACGGGUAUACACACAAAGUCAAUACCCGGACCCACAUUACAUAUUUCGCUUAUCUCAUGAACUCAGACUCAACUCAUGAGUUCAGACCACUCAAUUUCUCAUGACUUACCUUUUUGUAGUCCAUACUAUUUCUGAGGUUUAACGGGAUCUCUUAUCUAAUCUGACGUUGUCACACUUAUUGACAAUGGAAGUUACUCUUAUAAAACAUUAGUUAUACUAUCAUGGUAUCAAGUCAAAUUAUGAUACAUAGUAAAAAUAAAACAUUUAAAGUAAGCUACAAUGACACGUUAUUUACAUAUGUACUUACCUCGGUACAAAAUGAUGGGAACGAGCUUAAUCCUCGUAAACUUUGUUCUUACCCCGAUCAAGACCCGAACCACUCUUCUCUUGAUCUAUAUUGAUAAAAUUCAUUCAUUUCAUCAGCAUAUAAAUCUAGAUACUCAAAAAUUUAUAAUUAGGAAAAAUGACCAUUUUGCCCCUAGACUUUCACAAAAUUACCAUUUUACCCCUAGGCUCAAAAUUCAUGUGUAAUCACAUUUUCUCACUAAUAAAGCCUAGCCAAAUACUUUUUAUACUACAAGCAGUCCACAAUUUUCAUUAUUUCAUACAUUUAUCACCUAUUUUACAACUUAUGCAAAAUGGUCUUUUGUUAGGGUUUCCAUGAAAACAUCCUCGCAAAAGUUGUUUAUUACCUAUCCAAGACUCAUUUUCUUCCAUACAAAUUCAGAAAAAACCUAAAUGCUCUCAUGGAUAAACCCUAAACUUUCAACCAUUGUGCAAAAUAGUCAUCCCAUUAGAAAGCUUAUGCUACAAGGGUCUCAAAAGUACAAAAAUAUUUAAAAAAAGUCAUCAACAUCACUUACUUGCAAAGGUUUAAAGUUGUUGAAAUUUUGAAGCUAAAAAACUCCUCUAAUGGCUAAAAAUUUUGGUGGUAGGAGAAGAGAAUGAAAAGAUGAAGUCAUUUUGUUUUAUUUUAUUCAAUUAAGUCACCAAACCACCUAGAUUUUUGACUUUUUGACCAACUUGUCCCCUAUGGCCGGCCACCCUUCUAAAAUUGGCAUAAUUUUCCUUUAAAAACCUCCACAUUAUGAUUCAUGACAAAUUAACACCCUUAGCUAUCAAAAUGGGACUUUUUCACUUUAUGUGAUUUAGUCAUUUUUCACAAUUAAGCAUGCAAUUGCUAAAAUAAAUUCACCAAAAUUUUCAUGCACUCAUAUGAUCAUGCUAUAACACAUAAAAUAAUAUCAAUAAUAUUUUCUCCAACUUCGGGUAAGUGGUUCCGAAACCACUAUUCCAACUAGGCCUAAAAUCAGGAUGCUACAUUCGAGCUAUGGUUAGUCCGCAACACAUGCAGGAUCUUAACCAAUACGGUAACCCUAGUGACAUGUCACUCGUAUCUAACAAAUUCCUAUGGUUCAAACGGGGCUUGGUAAUUAUCCAAAUUCAUCAUUUAAGCGUUCAAUUAUCAAUAAUUCAAUUUCUUAAAUCAUAUACAUAUUUAAUUCAAUUAAAUACAUACAUUUAAAUUGUAACGCCCUGAAUUUUAGGCCUAGAAGUUCUGGGUUAUGAGUGCAGUGACAAUGAGAAGGUUGCACACAUGAGUUGAGUUGUGUUUUUUAGUGUCAGAAUGGGCCAGCUAGUCCAGUGGUUGAGUGAGUGUUAGUGUACUUUGAGGUUCCGGGUUCGAGUCUUACGAAUGCUCUUUGGGUAAAUUUUUUCUUCUUCUUCUUCUUUUUAAGUUUUUAUUCUGCUACUUAUUUUUAUUUCAUUUUAUUUUAUUGUAAAUUAUUUUAUGAUUUUAUUAUCUCUAUUUUUAUUUUUGGUCUCUUUUUGGACGUUCUUCCUGCUUUUCUUUUUGGGGGUUUUCACUGGCUUUUCUUUUGGGAUUGUUGUGAUUACUUAGAAAUGUUUUGUUUACGGCCGCUAGAAUUACAGUCCUCUGUCAUCAUCUCCGUUCGCAUAACAAGUGUGGGAUUUGAAACCUUGUCUUUUCAUUAUCAUUUUUUACAAAAUUUUUGUUUUGACAUAUUUUGUUUAUGUGUUAACCUGAAGGUUUUGGGUUCUAGACACUGGAAGUGAGGAGAAACCACCACUUUUUGAUAUAUUUUUUAUAGGGCAAAGCUUAGGUAAGGUUUCGGCGGCUUAAAUGGUGGUUUCAGGUUAUUUUAAGGGUGGUGUUGUGACCUCUCCGAUGACCACAUGGGUGUGUACCGAUACACACGGCUGUGUGGAUUUGGGUACUAGGGUUCUAGGCCAAAUUGGGUGCCACAUGGCCUGGCCACACGAUCAUAUGCCCGAUUUGGGUAUUUUGUCAGAAUUUACACAGUCGUGUCCCUUGGGCACACGAGCGCGUGGGUUUGGGAAUUAGGGUUUCAGAAAUUUAGAGUCACACAACCUGGCCACACGGCCGUGUGGCUGAUUUGGAGAUUUACAUGGGCGUGUAUUUUGAAACACACGGUCUUGUCUGGUGGGCACAAAGGCGUGUGAGACCCUCACAUGGCUGUGUCUGCCCUGCACCUUAUUUUAGCGAUUUUGGACAGUGAGUUACACGGCCUGUUCACACGGGCAUGUGCCUCCGUCACACAACUAUGUGCUACCAUUCAGCAUGGGCGUUUAGACCCCCACACGGCCUGGAUUGCUCUAAAUGGUUGGAGCACACGGGCGUGUGGCCCUAUCUCGCCAAAUAAUGCUUUUAGGUCGAACUUAAGUGUAAUCGCAACUCUAUGUGCCCCAACCCUCAGCUAAGCUUUACUGAGGGUAAUUAUGACUUUGAUCUGGGCUUGAUAUGUGUGUUAUUUGUGUUUGGUUGUGUGAUAAGCUUGAUACUGAACUCGAGUUAUAAGUGUGCACAUGCAUGAUUCUGUAACUGACUCAUUGGAUGUGAAUGUUUGCUUCUGACUAAUUACUUGAGAUUGGUAUUCUGAUUGUGUACAUCUGACUGCAUACAUACAUAUGCAUAAACUAUUUUGGGUGGGAUUUUGAAGAGAAGGAAGAUUGACUGAACUGGCAGUUGAUCUGCUGGUUACUAAUAAUCCCAAUGCCCUGAGGGUCGUGGACUUUACUAAUAUCGGCAUAGCGGAUGGCCAUAUUGCAUUAUACCGCAUGUACGUUAGCUACGCUACGUAUCUUUGACUGAACUGGCAAUUUACUACAACCUAUCGAUAUAACGGAUUACCGCAUUGCACUGUACCAUAUGUACGUUAGCUACGCUACGUACCUUUGACUGAACUGGCAGUUUUACUGUAACCUAUCAGUAUAGCGGAUUACCGCAUUGCACUGUACCGCAUUUACGUUAGCUACGCUAUGUACUUUUAACUGAACUGGUAGUUUUAUUGCAACCUAUCAGUAUAGCGGAUUACCGCAUUGCACUGUACCACAUGUACGUUAGCUACGCUAUGUACCACUAUCUGAUCAGGCAAUUUAUACUGCAUGUCUGUACCUCGGUUAACCGCAUUGCACAGUACAGCUUAUACGCUAGCUUUGCUGCAUAAUAUACAUGACUGGCAGUCUAUUGCAUAUUAUUAGUCCCAAUACCCAGAUUAUCAUGGACAAUCCUGACAACCAUCGUUGCGGGCAACCCGAGAUGACAUCAGUUGGAGUGCAGGGUCGGAUGGGCUUUAUGAGGUCCUGAGUGGAGUGAUUGGUGGGACGAGCUCAAAGCUUUUGUGAGGAGUGAUGGGGGACGGAGAGGUGUGUUUGCUGGAUGGGUGGGUUUUUCGUAACUCAAUUGCAUUCAUAUGAAUCAUAUUGACUGUUCGACUGAAAUGUCUAAUUAACUGUUCGAUUGAAAGGCACUUGUGCCUAUGAGAAUUGUGUAGACUUUGACUGCAACUGUCUAACUAGAUAGCCACUAUGACUUUUUGAGGAUUACUGCUGCUGUGCCUGAAUGGUACGUGAGAUUGUGUGUGUCUGAUUGACCUAUAUCUCUAUAAAAUACAUAUGGUGUGUGUUUGAUUUUGAGCGAUUCACUUAACUGUCAUCUGUCUGUUAGUAUGUUCUGCUUCCGAACUGCUUCUAGUUCACUAUUUCUAUUUCUAUAGUUUAAUUGGUUUGUUCUCACACUGAACUCGAGCAGCUCACCCCCUUUUUUGUUUCCUCUUUCAGGUACAGUUCUGGAUUCUGUUGAUGGGCUCAGUACGCAGAGGUUUCAAACAAUCUUGGAGGAUUGAACUAUAAGUUUAAUUGCUAUUUGGUUUUAGUUUGAACUGUAAAAGCUUUAUAAGACUGUGGUAAAAUUUUUUUCAUAUGCUAUAUUCGUAUAUUUUAGACUGGUAUAUUUUCGGACAGAAUUUUUAAAAACGAUUAUCAGCUUUUGGUUUGCUAGGAAAUAAAUGUUCUUAAGUAAUUGAGUUUAUUUUUGUAAAAUUUUCUCAUGAUCACUUUGGUGAUCAAUGUAGCAUCCCGGAUUCGGUCUAGACUUCUAGGUCGGGUUUGGGGUGUUACAUAAAUACUCAAUUCGCAUACCUAAUGCAUAUUAUCAUACCGAAUCUAUGUAACAUAUAUAACAAUUGUUGCAGUUCACUUUCAUUCAUGUAAACAGUAAUUUAAUCAUAUAAUCAGUAAUUUGAAUUUCAAUUGGGUUAUUCAUUCAACUUAUACACAUUCAUUUUAAACAAUUACAAGUAUUAAUAGUUCGAUUCUAGCUAUACGAACUUACCUCGAGUUGCUCAGAUGGAAUUUUUCGAUUAUUCGCCCAUUUUUUUCCUUUUUUCCUCGAUCUAAGCUAGAUCUUGCCUUAUCUUGAUCUAAAUAAUAUAUCAAAUUCAGAAAAUUAACUUCCUUUCUAUUCAAUUUGACACUUUAUACACAUUUUGGUAAAAUUACACUUUUGCCCCUAAUGAUUCAGAUUUUUACAAUUUAGUCAUUAUCUCAUAAAAUUGCAAAUUCAUGAAAUUUAAGGACAACCCAUGCUAUCCAAAUUUUGUAUAGCUUCAUAACAGCCCAUAUUUUCAUUUUAUUCAAACAUUUAACCAUAAAAUUUUACAAUUUCACAAAUUAAUCCCUAAUUGAUAAUUUUGUCAAAAAUCACUUGACAAAACUUGUAUAUCUAUCAUUUAACCUUCAUAAAAAUCAUUAAAAGUCGAUAUCAAAAUCAUACCUAAUCAUGCAACCAAAGUAUUUGAACUUCAAAAUGCUUCCAUGAUAUACUUUUUCUUUCAAUUUCGAUGAAAGAGAUGAGAAAAUAAGCUUAAAAUUAUUUUUGUUUUAUUUUAUUGACCUUAUUUACCAAUUUACUAAAUUAACCUUUAAAAAUAUUAAAAAAUACACCAUUUGCCAUGCUAUCAUCAUCCACUAACCACAGUUGGCCUAUUUAUCACUUAAGGACCUUUUCUUUAAUAUUCUAUAGCUAUUUGACACUUUUAGCUAGUAGAACACAGGUUUUACACGUUACGCGAUUUGGUCAUUUUUACCUAAUUAACCACUCAAACGGUAAAAUUUCUUUAUGAAAUUAUUAUACUAUCAUUCUAUCAUGAUUUAAGAAUUAUUAAAAGAAUAAAAUAAAUAUUUUGACUUGAGAUUUAUGGUCUCGAAACCACUGUUCCUAUUUGACUCAAAAACGGGCUGUUACAGAGUGACAUACUAGAUGUAUACAAUUUGAUCGUGAUAUAACCUUCCUAAUUUCUUUCAGUACAUCCCUGCUCCAAACGUGGCCGCCCUACAUCUAUCCAACAUAUUUCUCCUCUCACUUUGGGAAAUGUUCAGCGAAACAAAAAUAUAUUCUUAGACAAUCGAGGUUAUCAGCAAAUGAUGUGUACCCUUCAAUACGGAAUUGAUGCAUUCUGCCAGGUUUUUCGUCAUAUGCCGAUAUCGUAGACACCCAUCAUACGAUUGUGUCCACUGAUGGAAUGGUAUGUUGGAGAGGUACCCCGCCUAGACACUGUUAAUUACUUAUAAGUUUUCCAAUAUUUCUUAGAAAUGGUAUUUGACAAGCUCAUACCCUAUCGAGAAAAGAGAAUAGUUAAUCCAUAAUGCCUAACAUCUACUGACUGAUUAAAUAUCAAACAAUUAAAAUCAUGGCGAAUACAUACCCAUGUUGAUCACUUGCGUGCAUUGAGCUGCAAAAUUAUGUUGUCCAUGGUAGCUUUCCAUAACAUGUCUUAGACAAUACUUAUGGUGUGUGGUCCUAAAGGCUUCCUUGUCGUUCAAUUGUGGCCAGUAUUCUAGGUCCCUUGUUGAAGAUGAAGCAUAUAUCAGGUUGCGAGAAAACAUGUCUCCUUAACUUAGAUAGGAAGAAAUCUCAAUCGUCUGUUGACUAUUCUAGCGUUAUUGCAAAGGCAAUCGGUAGGAUUUUCUGAUUGUCGUCUUGUGACACAGACAACUGGAAACUAAUGGGUAUAUCUCUCAUACAUAAAGGUAUCGUCAGUUUUUAGCAGUGGCUUACAAUACUAGAAUGCUUGUUGACAUUGCUUGAAAGCCCAUAAGAAAUGAUGGAACACUUAACAUUCAUGGAGCAACUGGUAGUUGUAAUAAGCAGGCAUUUCCAGAUCGGUUAUGCAGCCUAAAACAUACCUCUCCAGUUCCUGAUACCAUUACAAUGAAUCAUUGUAUAACGUGUCCCACCCAUUAUACAUAUUCUCCAAUGCCUUCUUCUUUGCAAUCCACACCUUGCAGUAUGACGAUGUUUAAUCAAACUGGCUACGAAUAUUUACAAUUAAAAUCAACACAACAACCCUAGGACUUGCUUAGACCAUAAGCAGUAUUAUGACUGCGAUCAUCUCUGAAUCUAUAUUUGGAUGAUCUUGUGAAAUACCUGUAACAACAUGAGUACGUUAAAAUUAACAAUUCAACUCUCCAAAUACAAAACAGUCUUGAUGUAGUACCCAUGAAAACAUACGUUUAUGAAGCGAUAUAUUUCUUUAUAGUCUAUAACCUCGUCUUAUUUUUAAUAGAAUUUAUGAUUUUCCAUGCAUAUUUGUUGUCUCACAUUGCACACUUUGCCUCAAACUUGUCAAAUUGGGAUUUAACAACGUGGAAGAUUACCAGUUCUUGAUGUUGUAUCACUUAAAAUUGAAACAACAAAACCAUCUUUAGAGGAAAACUCCUUCCCCACCUUUAAAUCACCCAAAUCCAACAAGAACUCGCAUGGCCCAGUCUUUUGUAUGGUAGUUUUGCAAACUCCACCCCAUCAUCUACUAAUAGGGCCACAUUAUGCAUGUGGGCUGGAGGUGAGUACACCCGAAAUUGUGGAUCUUCUUUAACAUCUUCGUCUGGACCUUCAUUGUCUAAACCUCCAUCUUCUAGUUAAGUUGGAACUGGCUCUGGUUCAGAAAAUAAUGCAAUUUCUAAAUCAUCAGCACUGGGCUCUUAAAUUGGAUUGACAACUAAUUUAGUGCCCUCUUCAUUCUCAACCCCACCAAUAUCUCCAGGGUUGGAUGUCUUUUCACCGGUGGACAUCAUAAGAAGUACAUCAUACAUUCUUGUAUAAUUGUCGAAACAAGCAAAGCACUAGUUGAUUUUCAACUGUUGAAACUUGAUGUCUUUCCCCUGAAAGUGUUCCUAACAUUGAACAUCAACUAACCGAAGUUCAAAUAAAAACCACUAAUUGAGUGUUUUGCAAGGUCCAAUAUUCCAUGUUACCACCAAACUCUUAUUGUUCGGUGUUCUACAUGUCACGGUUGAAAUCUAGGGCCAAAAUAGUUGAGUGUCCUCUCAUUGAUGAUUCCUGGAUAUCAUAAUGGGAACUUUCUGACAAAGUGGUGAACCCACCACACAACUAUGUUGUUGGACUCUCAGCUUCUUUUUCCCUUCUAGCCUCUCGAACUGGAACAUAAGUCGACAUCCAAGGGCCUUCAUCUACCCUUUGCAAAUAUUGCAUAUAACUCUAGAAAUGGUGAUCGACUAUCAAUAUGCGUUUGCACCAUAGCCUCCAAUCCCCUCUCACCUCUUAUAUCAAAAAUGUCAUAUCUAACAAGGUCAGCCGAAGCACAAAAUCGAUAUUUAAGUGGUGAUACUCUCCUCUGGUUGGAUCUGAUAAUUUUUCACCUAAUUCUUCCAUGUAGUUAUGGCAACUAUAUGUUCUGGUUAAAAGCCAACCUCGUUGUGUUCUUUGAUUAAAAAAAAUCCUGUUCUCGGUGUCACACACUUCACCAUCAUAAUAAAUAAUAACAUUAAUUAUCUACUCAUUGUCAACGAAAUAACCUAUUCCACAUGUUCGAAACAAAAACAUUAUGCAUAAAAAUAGUGUUGUAAUUAAAUAUGAACAAUAAGAAUCGAUCUUUACUUUAUGCAAAUUGCAUAGUAGCUCCAAAUUAUGACUUAUGUUCGAACUUCUCUUCUUCUGAUCUUCUUACAACUUUCUUUGCUCGUAAAUGCCUUAUGCCACUCAAUGCUGAAAUAGAUUACUUUUGUAGACCCGGAGAUGAGUGCCAAUGGAUUCAAAGUGACCAAAAUCAUAUAUUUGCACGUACAUUUAUAAGCCAAAAAAUAAAGCAUAUAGACAAGUACUUUCAAACCACAUCACAUUGGCAAAAUAGCAUAAAAUCUCUUAUUACAUGCCAUUUAUAACUAUCAACAAAAUAACCUAAAAACUACCAAAUUGAUCAAUGGAUAGUGUGUAUGUGUUCCGGUGAGGCUCCAACCGAUCGAGCUUUCUAAUGAGCUACAAGACAAAGAAACAACUACAUAAGCAACUAGUGCUUAGUAAGCUUGUAUAAUCUUAAAUGUAAACUUAUUGUAAUAACUCAUUUUUCAGCGGUGUCAAAAAUAGUGGUUUCAGUGCCACUAUUCCGAUGUGAGAGUCCAUAGAUAUAUUUAAUUAAUAAUUAUGAUUUAAAUCUAGUAUACUAGUGAAUAGUGAUUUUAUAGAUUUUAUUAAAUGGUUUGUUAGUCAAGGGUAAAAGUGGUUUGUAUCAGAAGUCCGUGGUUUUGGAGAAUGAGUUAUCGAGACCUUGUUUCCAUAAAUCAAGCCCAUAAAUAUUUUUAUUAAAUAUUUAUGGGGUUUUAUAUAGGUGUAAUAAAUUUUAGUCUGGAAAGUUUAGUGAUUAAAUGACUAAUUAAGGAAAAAGGACUAAACUGUACAAGCUACAAAAGUUAAUCUCUAUUAGUUUAUUUGUGCUAAAUGAUUAUGAAAUCAUAAUUAGAUGGUUUUAAAAGGCAAUUAGACCAUAAUAUAGUUGGGUGGACAGUUAAUGCAUGAUUAUGGUUUUAAUGUUUUUUUGAAAAUGACAAAUAAAAUAAUGAAAAUAAUAGUAAUUAAAAAGGAAUUGAGGUGGAAAGAAAGAAAGGGAAAUGGUUACCAUCUUUAUCUUUCCACCAUUCAACAGCCAUAGAUUUAGGAAAGCUUCAAACUUCUCAAGCAAUCGUUUUAUGCAUGUGAGUGAAUCUAAAGCCAUUUUUUUCGUAAUUUUUAUGUUUUUGAGAUCGUUGUAGCUUAAUCUAACUAACCUAGGGACUAAGUUGUAAAUCAAAUAAAGAUUUUGGAACUUGACAUUGGUGAAUUCUAGGCGUUCUUGUGAUUAAAUAAUAAAAUUGAAAUUUUGGUUGUUGAUUAAGGCUAUCUUGUAAAGUGAUUUUAGUUAGCUUUUAGUUAAAGGACUAAAUUGAUAAAAUGUUAAAUUUAACAUGAAAUUCUUAUGAAUUUUGAAUAAUUAUGGGCUGUAUAGGGAUUAUGGGAAAUUCGGUCAGCAUGAAUUGAGUUUAAUUAUUUUAAAUUUGAAGUUUUGUGUUUAGGGACUAAAUUGAAUAAAAGGUGAACGUUUAGGGUAAAAGUAUAAAAUUUUGAUAAAAGGUAAAUUACAUGAAUUUUAGUAUUUUAAAUUAUUUGAAUUGGAUAAUUGAAUUAAAUUAUUAUAUAUAGAUCAAGAAAUGGAUCAAUCGAUAGACAAACGCGGAAAAGGAAAAAUUGUUGAUUUACCCCUAACAUUACAAUCUUUAUUGUUUAUCCCUGGUAAGUUCAUAUGGUUUAAAUUAGAAUAAUUCAUAAUAUUAUAUUGAUUUCUGAGUUGUGGUAUGUUAAUAAAUAUAUAGAUGUAAUGUAAUUGUUAUAAAUUGGUACACGGUGAGAAAAAUGAAAUGAAUUGAAAAAUGUUAUACGAUUACCUAUAUUGAGCUCGAAUGUACAUAGGAUAGGAUAAUUUUGACAUGCCAACAGGUUAUAUUGCAUGCAGUACGAGGUUGACUUGUGAUGAGGUGAUGAUUAUUGACUUGUUACUAUACACUGAAUGUAGCGAAGUCCAACAUUUAUUGCGGAAUAUCAUGUUAUAUUUACAGUGAUUCUAGUGCGUGAUUGGGGGCGGAUGUAGAGCCUUUGGGCUUGGCACUUAGUGUCGAGGUGUGUUUCAGACGGAUAUUAGCCUGCGGGCUUUGCACUUGGUGCCCAAGUGUGUUUUCGGAUGGAUAGCUUAUUUGGGCGUUCUAGUUUGUUCUGGAUGGAUAACCGUGUAUCCGUAUCUAUUAUGUCGUUCAUCGAGCCAAAUUUUUAAUGGUUAAAUGAUUAAAUGAUGAUAGGUAACUGAUAUUUGGUUAUAAUUUCUUGUGAAAGACUCAUACAUAUGUUUAUAGUUUCUGAUAUUUUAUCGCGACUUGUUAAAGGUUGAUAUUGUAUCACUGAGGUGAUUAAAUGACUUGUAUUUAUGAAACUUACAUGUUGAAUGGCUGUGAUUGACAGGGUUAAUGUUAGCUAUUGAUUUUGUUAAUUAUAAAAUUGUGGUUAUACGAUAAGUUAUAACAUUUCAACUUGUGAACUUAUUAAGCUCAUAAAAGCUUACUCGUGUUGUUUUCCUGAUUUCUUGUAGAUCUUGUUUUGCAGAAUCGGGCAAUCGGAUCAAGUGGGAGAUCACACUAUCCGACUAUCUUCGGUAGUCUUUAAAAAUGUUUACUUUGGGAUAUGUGACAUGUAAUAAGAGUAUCUUGUAAUUGUGUAUAAGUGUUCAUAAUAAGUGGCAUAUUUUAUACUUGUUUAUCAGUUGAUUAUUUGUGGCGAAUAAUGUGGUUGAUCAUAGCUUGAUUUAGAGAUUUGAAUGUGAUAUUGAAAUUGAUAUAUGGUGGAUUUAACUUGAUGACAUGAAAUGUGAUAAGUAUGUUUUGUAUAUGUUUUGGAUACUUACUUCAUGCGUUACAUCUUAGGUUGGUGUAAAGUUGUUUAAGCUUGGUAUUAGUUUGCUUGUGUAUGUGUCUUUGGUUUUGGCAUGUAUAUGUUCAUGUAAGUAUGUUUUUGGCCAUUUGGUAUAAACCUCAUGAAAGUGUUUGAAAGAUGGUAAGAUGGAAUCUGAAUGAGUUGCAUGAGAUGGUAAGUUUGGCAUGUGUUGAAUGUAAGAACUUGUGAACUUUGAAGGCAAAGUAAUUUGGUAUGAAAUUUGAAUUUGGUUGAUAAUUGAAUUAUGGUGUCGAUGAGAACACAUUGGUUAGGCACUUAGUUUGAAUGUUUUAGCAUGUUUUAGACUUGUUUAAAUGUGUUUUUGAAGUAUGGAAAUGGUUGAUUUUGAUUUUACUUGGUCUCUAAGUUUUGGAUGAAAGUUUGCCUUGUUUUGGAAGCCUCUUAAGGUGCACAUAGCCUGGGGCACGAGUUGCCACAAGACCGUGUGCCUUAUUAAUUUUAAGUGCAGGAUUUUCCACACAGUCACAGAUAGUUACACAGUUUGAGAAAAUGGGAAUUUGGAGUAGCCACAUGGGGGUGCGGGGUAGCCACAUGGCCAUGUCCUUGAGUCACAUGGUCUAGGCUCUGUCACACGGCCAUGUGACCCCUAUUUUCAAAAGUUUUAAAAUUUUUCAUGUUUUUCUGUAUUGAUUCAAAUUAGACCCUGAUUGUUUCCAAACUAUUUUUAGGGCCCCGUAAGCUCGUUUUAAGGCCCCGUAAAUGUUAUUUUUCUAUGAAUGAAAUAUAGAUUCGAAUAUUGUUGUUUAAAUUAAUAAAUAAAUUGUUUAAUGAUUUAAAUUGUUUUGAUAUGUGCAGUGAUACUCUGUAACCCUAAUCCAUCAUCAGAGACGGGUUAGGGGUGUUACACUUACCUUUUAAAAUCAAUUUAUAUAAAUUUGAUGUAUAAUCUCAUUAUCAUAUUCAUGAAUUUAUGAAAUCCUAUACACACAAGUCCCACAAGUUAAUGAGCUCCACAAGAAAAAGACAUAAUCUUAUCAUGUCAUAAAACACAUAAUAGUAACAUAUCAAAUAUACCUUUCAUUCACCAUAAUACCAAUUUGCAUAACUCAUCCAAAUCAAAGCAUUAUACUAACAUCUUCCAUUUCAACUUUCAAGAUCACAUAACAAUUCAUAUAAUUAAGCUUACUCUUUUAUGUCUUUAUUACCUGUUGAACCAAAUGAAACAACGUCGAAUAUACGAGAACCAUGCUCACACAAAGUGUGUCUGUAUCUAUAAUUGUAUCCAUAUUUGUAAUACUCACACGAGCUGUGAAGCGGGUUUGCUCACACGAGCUGUGGGUUGGGAUGUUAAGCAACAUGAUGCUGCUUACACUAGCGGUGGAGUAUCCAUAAUAAAUGAAGGACCUUAGCCAUCAGUAGGACAUCUAAGACCAAUACCCAAAACCGUAUAACCGUUAAUGAUAUGUCAUUUGUAUCCUAGGUAUUCACAAGGUUCCAAUGAGACACAUUACAUAUCCUUUAAUUCCUUUUUCGAUAUAACAUUUCAUAUACAUAUUCAUGAAAUUUACAUUUUCCACAAUUCGUCAAUUGAUCACCAUAACCAUUUAAUCUCAUUAAGCAUAUAACACAUAGUAAUCCUUUAAGAUAUAACUAACAUAAUUAUUCAUUAACAUUUUAAACAAAUCUACAAGUAAUGAAUUAUCCAUUAUAUGAACUUACAUCGACUAAAACGGUUGCAAAAAUAGAGCCAACGAUUAGUCCGAUACUUUAGUUUUUCCUCGAUUUAAAUUCGAUUGAUUCAUUUCUUGAUCUAGAUAAUAAUUUUCAUUCAACUGAUACAAUUCCAGCCUUUAAAUAAGCAGUUUUAUACAAUUAAGUCCUUCCAUCAUCAUUUUACAAAAUUACCCCAACAUUUUAACCUUUAUGCAAUUUAGUUCCUAAACCUAAAACUUACAAAUUAACCACAAUUAAACAAAGUCCACGCUAACCGAGUUUCAUGGGGUUCAUGAAAAGGCUAUAUUCAUCAAAUUUUCAAAUUAACUCCAAUGAAUUUUACUCUUUUAAGAAAUUAAUCAUUUAACAUUAAAUUACUAAAAACUACAAUACAAAAUAAGCUUAUUUAUCAACCAAGCUUAAUAUUCUAUCAAUUAAGUUCACAAACACACUUAAACCAUUCAUGGAAAAUCCUAAAAGUUUUAAAAGUUUUACGAAUUGACCCCCCGGGUUGCUAGAUUAAGCUAAAGCAUUCAAAAAAAUAUAAAAUUCAUUAAAAACGGGUCAAAAUUACUUACCAUGCAUGAACAAGUGUUGACCAAAGCUAUCUAGUUUCUCUAAUAGAGGAUUCAACUAUGGUAAAUUAAAGGAAGAAGAAGAUGACAAUAGAUUUUGUCAUCUUUCGUUUUAAAUUUCCAAAUUAAUUACAAAAUUUCACCAAAUGCCAAGCCACAACUGUCCACUAUCUAAUGGUAUGGGAUAUUUACCAUUUAAGUCCACUUGUUUAUCUUUCUCUAGCCAUUUGACAACUAUAACUAAUAAAAAACUUGCUUUUGCAACUUUUACGAUUUAGACCUUUUCACUUAAUUAACUAUUUAAAUGUUAAAAUUUCUUAACCAAAUUUUAGUAUGACUCUAAUAAAUGCUCAUACACGUUAAAUAAAUAAUAAAAUACUGAUUCUCUUAUCAGAAUCAUGAUCCCAAAACCAUUGAAAAUGAGUUGUUUCAGUUUAUUUGCAUCAACCACAUGUAUGUAGAUAUGCAUAUGUAUAUAUAUAUUUAUGUAUUGAACUCAAAUCAUAAAAGUACAAACAAAAUUUGUCACUCGUUUACGACUCUUGUGUUUGCCUUCUCUUGUGAUUGCCCAAUAUCAAUUUUAGCUGCGUUUGAUAAUUCAAUAAUAGAAACAAUAUCAGUUUACAUCCAAUUCACGUUCAAAUACAUAGCCAAACAUAUUUUUCAUUUUAUUCAAUUUAUUUCCUAUAUCCGAGAUCUCAUAUUUUCCAUAUCUAACAUCGGAUCAAAAUCUGAUUUCACAUUCUUUCAUUAGGAACCUUAUACUUUCUAUCUAUAGCAUAAUUUUAUGAUUGUUUUCAGUUUAUUCUAUUUAGUCCCUAAUGUUACCAAGUUAUUUAACAAGUUUAACUUACUUUGUAAUUUAGCCCUUAUCAAAAUCUAAGCCUACUAACUACCAAUUUCUUUAAUUCAAGCGCAAAAUCAUCAACUUCUUUUUGUGGCAACUUGUUAAACAUCAAAUAAUUGAAGAAAUUAACAUAUCGGUUAGCUAAAUCUAGCUCUCAUGAUUCAAAUCCAUAAAUUUUUAAAUAAAAAUGCUUAAUUACGUGGGUAAGUGGACCAAAUUGGAAAAGAGAAAAACGUUCUAGUUUCUUCAACCAUGGAUGACAAUGCUUGAGUAGAAAUAUGUUCUUUAUCUUGUUCUACUAAAAAUUGUUUAUAUAUAAUCAACUAAGGUGUCAUUAAUUUUAACUAACUUAGUUUAUUAUUUAUUAAUAUUAUUUACUUAAUCAAUUAACAUUAUUAAUCAUAUGCCAAUGGAUUACCAUCAACAUCCACUAACUCAUAUUUAAAAAUUAGUUAAAUAAUCAUUUUAGUCAUUUGGAUGAUUGCUAUCUAGUUCCCUAAGCAUUUUCUCAAUUAAACUCAAUUGCAAGAUAAACUCAAGUUUAUCACUAUUUUCAGCUAAAUGACUUUCUUUGCUAUUCUCGAACCACGAAUUUUGUCCAGUAUGGACUUGAGCAACAUGAACCAAGUCACAGAAUAAAAAUGAUAUAUUUACUUUCAGUGGGGACAUAAAUUUUCUCUAUAAACUGGUAAUUGUUCGUAAUUUUCAGAAAAUAAAAUUUAUUCUUUGUAAGUAAAUUACCACUAAUUUCUACAAGAAUAAUGAUGUAUGAAAUGUGUGUAAAUAGCUCUACCAGUGCUCUCUCUAUAUAGAGAAAACUACAAGAGUUCUGGUUGACUAAAUCUUGAAUAAAUAAUAUUAUUUUAAUAAAAAAAGGCUCCUACUCUAGUAGUAAAAGAGAGGGGCGGCGGCACACCCUUAUAUUUACUAGGGUUUUUCGACCCUUGUCAUACACAAGGUCAUAUUGGGCCUUUCAUAUAUUUGGUCCAAUUGUAUGUGCUUCCUAGACUUUUAGCCCAACACUUUAUAAUUUAUUCAACUCAAUAUUUAUUUCUAUUACCCAAAACAUUAUUUAAUCAAUUAAUUAAAUUAACUAUAUUAAUUUAUCAAUUAAAUAUUUUUCUCAACCCAAUUCUAAUUUCAUUAAAGUCAUAAAAACUUUAUCGUAAUAGAAUCUAUGAGGAAAUAUAUUUAAUUUUCUUAUUCAAUCAAAUCUAUAAUGACUAAUUAAUUUAAUUCCAUCUUCGAGUUUAAAUUAUUUAAUUAUAAUUAAUUAAAUAAUAAUCCGAAGAAACUUAAAUAUAUGCAAUCUAUUUUUCUUACUUCAUUGAUUCCAUUCAUUUCUAUUUAUUGGUUUUAGAUGCAGUUCGCUUAUGGUUAUCUCGAGCUAACGGAGGGGCCAAUUUGACAUGUAUAAUUAGGUCUCAAAGAAUUUAUAAUUAAGUUUAGGUUUUUGCCUAUUAGUUAUGACACUAUUUAAUCACGAAGCCAUUCUACUAAAGUAUCAUGACCGUGCUCUUCCUUAUUAUAUACCAUUAUGAAAGUUACUUAAUAAAAUCUCAUCCAAUAACUUUGUCAUAAGUGUGCUACCCUCAUAGGAUAUCCUUGAUCUCUUUGGAUAAAUUUGUUCACCUAAUAUGGUUCUAUUUUAUCUCAUAAUAACCAAUAUAUCUUCCUUUAUGAACAGUCAAUUACUAUGAAAUACUAAUUAAAUUAUUUAUCACAAAGACAAAUGAAAUAGUAAUAAAGACAAAUGAAAUAGUAAUUAAAUAUUCUUUCAUGUAAUGCCAAUGAUAGAAUAUCAUUUACCCCUUCAUUGGGCUAUGAAUUCCAUUGUUGUGAAAUAAUGCUACACAUUGCAAAAGUCAUAUAUCUAGCAUGCCAACUUUUCAUUCCUUAUUUAUUUUAACAAAAUCUUUUAUUUACAUCAAAGUAAAUGAGUCACGUAUACAUAAUUUAUCAUCCAUUCAAGAUUAAUGUAUAUCACACUAUGAACAAAAUAAGUUAAAAAAUCCACAAACAGAUCAAGGAUUGAUUCUAUUUGGGUCUUGUUUGAUGUACUAUCAGUCUAGUCAAUCUCAUCUAUGUCGUUAUCUUCCUGGAGUCAUUUGCUCUGAUACCCAAUACAAGGAAUCUUCUCAAUUGGACUUGAUAGAUGACAUAUUAUUCUUACAAUCAAUUUGCUUGUUUUUUAUUAGACUAAGGACAUGUUCAGAUUAUCUACUAAUAUAAGUUGUCUUUUCGUAUUAUGAUCCGACCACGUAAUAUCGCUUAGUAUUAGUUAAACUUUAGUUAAUUAGUGAGUUAAUAUUUGUUUUAAUUUUGCUUUGCAUGUAAAAAUCGUUAAAGAUAAUAUAAAAAGAAUAUUAAUAUAACUAAUGAACAUUUUAUUACACCAAUUGUUCGAAAAAUACAAGUAUAUAUUGAAGAAAAUAAUAUACUAAGGGAACUAGAUCCAAUAGUUAAACAAGUUAAAUUCUAAAAGCUUUUUUCUAGGAUUGUUCAAUUGGCAACUGUUUGUUGUUGAGCUAUUCUCAUCGUGAAUUUACGUCAGGUGAAAUUUGUGGUUUGAAGUUGUUCUUAGACUAUUUUAGCUACCUUAUCAAGGAUUAAUAUAUAUACUAUGUGUUCUAUUCAAACACUAAAGUCAAAAUUAGUCUAGAGCUAGAAUUAUCAUCAAAUUGAUUUUAUUUAAUUUAUUUCGUGUUUUUGUUAUUUUCAAUGUUCUGUUCGUUAUUUUUAUCAUAUUACGAUUUCCUUGCUAUUGUUUAAACCCUAAUUUUAUUUUUCAUGCAGCAUUAUGAAAUUUUGGGCACAACUUUACCCUCACACCAUUGGUCACAAAGUAUAGCGAAUUUAAUUUACCAAGUCUUCAUGGAAUUCAAGCCUACUAGUCUAUCUACAGUUUUAAAUCUAUUUUUAGGUGUAGGAUAUUUAAAUUGGUGGAUUUGGCACCCAUCAGUUAAUGAAAUCUCAUAAAUUGUUCAUAUCGAUGUACAUGGCCUAAUGAACAAUACUGUGCAAUGAAGAUAUGCAUAAUAUAUAACCUUUACAAAUAAUUAUUCUAAAUAUGAAAAUGUCUACCUAAUGCAUCUCAAGAUUGAAGCUUUCGAGAAAUUUCAAGAAUUUUAUAUAGAAAUGGAGAAAUAAUUAGGUUUAUCCAUUAAGAAAAUUCAGUCUAGUCAAAGUGGAGAACAUUUGUCUAAUGAGUUCUCAGGACACCUCAUUCAGAAUGGGAUUUUAUUCAAAUUAUCUACACCUAGAAAUCAACAAAAUAAUGGUGUAGUAGUGGGAAGGAACGAAAUCUUGUUAGACAUGGUUCGUUAAAUAUUAUGUUAUUCAUAACUAUUAAUGUCAUUUUUAGGAUAUGCAUUAUAAUACAUUCUGAAUGAUGUACUAAACUUUAGCAACACCUUAAACUCCAUAUAAUAGGUGGCAUGGCAAGAAGCCCUGCCUAAACUUUUUUAGGAUAUAGGGAUGCUUUAGAUAGGUGCAAGACAUUCGAAGUGAAUAAAAGGCGGGUUAUUUUAUAACCCCAAAGGACCAAAUGGUCAACAUGUCAACUUUUGUGAUGUUCCUAAAGGAAAGUUACAUGAAUGAAUUUAAACAUUAAAGUAAACUAAUACUCAAGGAGUUUUUUGGAAAUAGAGCAAAAUCCCAAGCUUCUAUCUUGGAUCCCACUCCUAGUGAAAGACAUGCAAACAAUCAAUACUAUAAGGAGCCUUUGUAACACCCCUUACUCGAGUCCAACGUCGGGACGGAUAUAAGGCAUUACUGGACUAAAACGUAAAUAUACACACAGAACCGAGCCAUAAAAUUUCUUUUGAAUAAAAAUUGUACACACACAUGCAACUCUUUCGUAUUAUGGGCCUACAAGGCCCAAAGCAUACAUCGGGGGGUGGUUUGGGACCAUACAGUGAACUUUAGAAAAAAUUUCAUAAAGCAGGGUCACACGCCCGUGUGGGCACCGGGACACGCCCGUGUCUCUAGACUGUGUAACUCUCUGUUUAUAACGCCAACAUCAAUUAAGGAUCACAUGGCCAAGUCACACGCCCGUGUGCCAGGCCGUAUAGCAAAUUUAAUUUUCGCAAUUAAGGUGCAGACUUCCCACGACCAGGGCACACGCCUAUGUCCUGCGGCCGUGUCCUCCAAACGACUGAGACACACGGCCGUGUCUCUGCCCGUAUGUUUACUAUCAUGCAUACUGACUUGAAAAACUAGGGUGCAGGAGACACGCGACAAGGCGACACGCUCAUGGGGCCAAACGUGUGUCACACACGACCUAGACACAUACCCGUGUGUCUGCUCGUAUGGACAACUUUGAGGUUAUUUUCCAAGCCCUCUUGUCACCCAUAACAACCUCUACUCACACUCUUAUGUCAAAGGUGAUUAUUGUUGGAUAAAGGGGUUACUUAGACAUCCAUAGCUUUAACUCGUGCACGACAAUUUCAUAUCACGUAUACCUAAUUGAGACUCCAUGACUUGUUAAGUUCAUUCAAUCCAUUUCUUUACCUUUAUCACUAAGGUGACCAUGCCAAUUGACAUCAUUUAUCCAUCAAGCAUAAAUUCCAUAUUUUGUUAACCAUUAUUUACAACCAAUUUGGCACACACCACAAGGGUAUAACACAUCUCAUGCAUGUAUCAAUAUUUAGGGAUUUCAACCCAAUAAUCAAUAUGAGCCAUAUUUCAUUGCCAUAUACAAAAUGGAAUAAUAUACCAAAAUGAACCAUCGCUUUUGCUAACAAAUAUGACACAUAUAACAAAAUAAUAAGCCCCCUAUACAUGCCAUACUUAAAUGUAAUAAACUAAUUAUACCCCAAAAGAUUUGUUGAUAGUGUGACUCGAGCUCUAACGUUCACGAUCCCCGAGCCAGCUUGACGAUGCUAAAAGAAAAAGGAAAAGAGAGAGAAAGGUAAGCA